UUAUUAAUUUCUAUAUUACUAAAUCUUAAUUUCUUAAAUUUUUAAUAUUAAUUACUAUUUUCAUAAAUUAAAUAUUUUUAAAAUAAUUAAAAUU
RNAcentral lists this ribosomal RNA (94 nucleotides) under Cydia pomonella (codling moth). RNAcentral's name for it is "partial 12S ribosomal RNA". Lineage: Eukaryota; Metazoa; Arthropoda; Insecta; Lepidoptera; Tortricidae. The record is from RNAcentral.